UGCGUAGGCGGUGCAGCAAGUCGGGAGUGAAAUCCCACAGCUCAACUGUGGAAUUGCUUUCGAUACUGCUGUGCUUGAGUGAGAUAGAGGUAAGCGGAACUUAGGGUGGAGCGGUGAAAUGCGUUGAUAUCCUAAGGAACACCGGUGGCGAAGGCGGCUUACUGGAUCUCUACUGACGCUGAUGCACGAAAGCCAGGGUAGCGGAACG
Molecule: ribosomal RNA, 208 nt
Filed under: uncultured bacterium
Lineage: Bacteria
Description: partial 16S ribosomal RNA
Rfam family: Bacterial small subunit ribosomal RNA
Source: RNAcentral